Molecule: long non-coding RNA, 1447 nt
Filed under: Papio anubis (olive baboon)
Lineage: Eukaryota; Metazoa; Chordata; Mammalia; Primates; Cercopithecidae
Description: lncRNA (ENSPANG00000050879.1)
Source: RNAcentral
GGCGAGGUGGCGGGCGCCUGUAGUCCCAGCUACUCGGGAGAGAAUGGCCUAAACCCGGGAGGCGGAGCUUGCAGUGAGCUGAGAUCCGGCCACUGCACUCCAGCCUGGGCGACAGAGCCAGACUGCGUCUCAAAAAAAAAAAAAAAAAGAAGCUACAUCCACCUAGGGAAAGACAUCACACAGGUGCAGGUCGAUUCUGUAGAAGCUGACCCGCUAAACAUGAUCGCGGUGUAAAAGCACAAAGAGCCAGCCCACCACUGCCAUGCAGGUCAGGCGGAGGUAGGAGGCCUGCAAGAUGCGGAAAAACUGAGUUGACUGAAAGGACGGACACGAUUCCAGGAGGAGGAAAGGCAGGCGGAGCUGGGACCAACAGGCACUCCACACCCGGAAAAAGCCCAAAGGUUUUCACAUGACAGAAGAGUUUGCAGCUGCGGUCACAGCUAAGCCAUGGCAGGCUGGCUGCAGUGUUUGUAUUGAGUCCUUUUGAUGACAGCAUGAAUUCUGAGAACAAAGCUUCCAGGCUGUGGAUGUGUAACUGGAACCCAGAGACAAAAAUAGCUUCUCUUCUCAUGCAUAUGUGAGGUCUGAUCUGUAACUUUGAGAAAGAGUUUUUGCCAUUUAUAAAACUUAGAAGAUUCCUCAACAACCGCAAAUCCCAUGAAUGACUGAACAUUUUUAUUUGGCUGGAUCCAUCAGAUUUAAUAUUCUUUCAGCUAUUUGGUAGCUGCCUAACUUUUCCUUCUCAUUGAAAACUCCAGUGACUUUUGAAGCUGUUUUUGAGAUAUACGAAUAAUAGAGAGUGAUUUAGCAGAUUAAAAGAUUAGAGUUCUUAUAAUAACAUUAAAGAGAGUAUCAGGGAACCAAGUAGUCUGGAGAGAAUAAAGCUUUCCUCAAAGAGACGACUCUACAUGCUCAGCUGAUAUUUCUAAAUUGAGUCAGGAAAUGUUCCAGGGAGGACACAGCUAGCUUGUGCCUUAAUUCAGAGCCUGAUUUAGAUUUGUAUACCCUCAUAUAGGUCAGUACAAAAUGAAUCACGAGGAGUCGUGUAUUCAUAACUGGCGAUACAGAGAAAUUAAGAUAAUUUAGUUACAUGUCUUUUAAUAUACUUAUUAAUAAAACGACACACAUAGUUGUAUCUAAGUUCCUCUACCUACAUCAAAUAAAUUGCAUUAACUGAUAGCUUCAUCUCAUCUUUAACCACAUAUUUUAAAAAUACCUGUCAUUAAUUAUUCCAAUAAAUUGUAUUGCACUUAACAUUAUUUUAUAUACACCCUCAUUUUAAUCACCAUGUAAUAUGUUAUAGAAUUAGGAUUCUUAUGACAAAGUAACCAUUUCUGUAUUAUGGGGUGCUAACCUAUUUUUAUUCUCAUAAUUCUAACUACAUGUCUCAUUAUAAGUAUAGCUUUCUCUUAAUUUGAAUUAUUUCAUUCUCAGGAAGAGAAUGAUG